GACGAACGCUGGCGGCGUGCCUAAUACAUGCAAGUCGAACGAAGCUGUUUUAACUGGUGCUUGCACCGACUUAAACAACUGAGUGGCGAACGGGUGAGUAACACGUGGGUAACCUGCCCCAAAGCGGGGGAUAACAUUUGGAAACAGAUGCUAAUACCGCAUAACCACAGAAACCACAUGGUUUCUGUGUCAAAGAUGGUUUCGGCUAUCACUUCGGGAUGGACCCGCGGCGUAUUAGCUAGUUGGUAAGGUAAUGGCUUACCAAGGCAAUGAUACGUAGCCGAACUGAGAGGUUGAUCGGCCACAUUGGGACUGAGACACGGCCCAAACUCCUACGGGAGGCAGCAGUAGGGAAUCUUCCACAAAGGACGAAAGUCUGAUGGAGCAACGCCGCGUGAGUGAAGAAGGUUUUCGGAUCGUAAAACUCUGUUGUCAGAGAAGAACGUGUGCGAGAGUAACUGCUCGUGCAGUGACGGUAUCUGGCCAGAAAGCCACGGCUAACUACGUGCCAGCAGCCGCAGUAA
Molecule: ribosomal RNA, 524 nt
Filed under: uncultured bacterium
Lineage: Bacteria
Description: partial 16S ribosomal RNA
Rfam family: Bacterial small subunit ribosomal RNA
Source: RNAcentral